UCUAAAAAUAUUUACAAAUGUCUAUAAGAUCAGUCGUUAGUAAUUUUGUUUUUAUAUUUUUCGAGUUUGUUUUAAUAUUACCAGAUAAAAAUUUAUUCCAUAGGUAUGGUCCCCUAUAUCUAAUUAAAAACGUGCAAGAUUUUAAUAAAAUCUUUGGCACUUGAUAAUUAUUUUUUGAAAAUCUAGUAUCAUAUUUAUGUUGUAUUGAACUAAAUUGGUUAGUAAACAAUUUUGGUGUGAUGUUUUGUUUCAUCUUGUACAUGAAAAGUAAAACUUGAUGCAUAUUUAAUUGAUAAAUGUUCAAAGCCCCAAUUUGAAGAACUAAGUGUUGUGUUCGUGGCAUAUCUGUCCAAACAAAAAAUUAUACGACAAGCAUGUUGUUGUUUAUUAUACAACUUUUUAAAUUUAUUUACAUUGUUACUUGCUCAGGAUAUUAUUACAAUACGUUAAGUAGCUGUGUAUAACAGAAAAAUAAAGGUUUUUUCAAGCAAAGAAAAUUUAAGUAUCGUUUGGCCUUAUAUAAUAUCACUAAGUUUUUAGAGAUUUUAUUUUCAAGGGUUUGUAUAUGUUUAUUCCAUGUUAAUAAUUCGUCUAAAAGUACGCCAAGAAAUUCUAUUGUUUAUGUUUACGUUAUUAAUUUUAAGAGCUGGUAGUUUGAGUGGAAUAUCAUCAGUUUUGUAACUUAUUUACUUAUAUUAAGUGAGAGGUUAUUUGCUUUGCGCAAGUUCUUGGUUAGCUGUUUUAAAUAAAUCGACAAUGUUAGUAUUAGAGUAAAAAUUUGUUCUUAACAGUAAUAAAAACACAACUUUAAAACUUAGCCUCACUUUGUUCUUAGUUAUUGAACUUUCACCAAUUGUGUUUAUAAACAAGGCCGAAAUCGCACCAAUAUGGACAUUAAUCCGAAGUUAAUGCAGGUAUGGAAAGAAAAAACGACGAUUAUAGCUUGGAGAAAGUGUUUUUCUUCCACGAGAUUAUACGUAGUUUGAGAGAGAAUUGCAAGACACCUAUAAGGAAAUUCAGAUGAUUGAGGAGGCUGUUCAUAUUUUUGGCAAAGGCUUAAGCUACGUGUUUUUGUGAAGUUACUCUUUAUAUAAGAAACCUGUAUCUAACAACUCGCCUCCAUUUUGUCGAAACAUGACGCAAAAAACGCAGUUAGUAAGUUGUUGCUGUCAGCUCGUCAACGAUGCAAAACAAAUUUGAUAAAAACAUUUAUUGUUAAUAUAAACAAAGAAUUUUGUCUUUGUUAAAAUCUGUUUAAAUAUAUCUUUAUGAAUUGAUAUAAUUUACUUUAUUUAUGCAUGAUUUGUGUAACGAUAAAAAAGUUAUGAUGUUGUUUCGAAGCUGAAUCGCUUUUAUGCAUUCCUCGGCAUGUGUGUUUUAAGACAGAUAUAAUUUAUAUGUUAAAAGGAGCAACCUUAGUCACGUGAUGUUUUGGAACAAUGGCGUCGCUACGCACCUUUUUUACAUCGUUACGUUGGCAUGGCAGCAGCGUUGUAUAAAAUUAAACAGCGUUAUCGCGGCUUUUCUUUGUGAUUAGUUCUCCAUUGUUUUUAUUAGAAUAAAGUAGUGUGAAUGCUUCGUGUUUUGUUUACCGGGUGAUCUAACACCUCCGAUGGAGAGUCGUUAAAUGAAAAUAAUUCUUGUGUUGAUUCAAAAGGUAAAGAACGUAUCACGUUUUAAAAAAGGGGAGUGUUGUUGAACUUUUUGUCGUUGUGAAAAUUCGUCGAAUCUUUAUUUGACUCACUUCCCUGAUCUGCCGCCAUUAUGAAUAUUCUUUGGGCUAUUAUUUGGUUCCUUGUUUUAAUCUUUCUCGCUUGGCCAGUGGGAGGAUUUUGCGCCUCUUGGUACGUAUGCUGUCUCCCGUUCGAAGUAUGCAUUGAAGGGUUGAAGGGGCUGAAUGAACUUUUAUUCAAAGGGGUCAAAUUGCCGUACGAAGUUGCUGUGAGAUUGAAAGACGGAAAAGAAGGCUGGUGAAAUUUCCGCAAGAUUUACUUAUUGAUUGGUUUUCUUUCUAUACGCUUAUUUAUACCCAACACAAAGAGGCUGAGAUCUGAAGAACUUUUGUUUAUUGAUUUAGUGCAUUUUUGUACUGUUUUUGUACAUGUAGGAGAAUUAACGUUACUAUGAUAAUAAA
Molecule: long non-coding RNA, 2134 nt
Organism: Hydractinia symbiolongicarpus
Lineage: Eukaryota; Metazoa; Cnidaria; Hydrozoa; Anthoathecata; Hydractiniidae
Exons: 2
Source: RefSeq, a predicted model, not a curated record